GGGAGUACGGCCGCAAGGUUAAAACUCAAAUGAAUUGACGGGGGCCCGCACAAGCGGUGGAGCAUGUGGUUUAAUUCGAUGCAACGCGAAGAACCUUACCUACUCUUGACAUCCAGAGAACUUUGCAGAGAUGGUUUGGUGCCUUCGGGAACUCUGAGACAGGUGCUGCAUGGCUGUCGUCAGCUCGUGUUGUGAAAUGUUGGGUUAAGUCCCGCAACGAGCGCAACCCUUAUCCUUUGUUGCCAGCGGUUAGGCCGGGAACUCAAAGGAGACUGCCAGUGAUAAACUGGAGGAAGGUGGGGAUGACGUCAAGUCAUCAUGGCCCUUACGAGUAGGGCUACACACGUGCUACAAUGGCGCAUACAAAGAGAAGCGACCUCGCGAGAGCAAGCGGACCUCAUAAAGUGCGUCGUAGUCCGGAUUGGAGUCUGCAACUCGACUCCAUGAAGUCGGAAUCGCUAGUUAUCGUAGAUCAGAAUGCUACGGUGAAUACGUUCCCGGGCCUUGUACACA
RNAcentral lists this ribosomal RNA (513 nucleotides) under Leclercia adecarboxylata. RNAcentral describes it as "bacterial SSU rRNA". It matches the Rfam family "Bacterial small subunit ribosomal RNA", at positions 876 to 1389 of the family's 1533-position model. The record is from RNAcentral. Lineage: Bacteria; Pseudomonadati; Pseudomonadota; Gammaproteobacteria; Enterobacterales; Enterobacteriaceae.